GACGAACGCUGGCGGCGUGCCUAAUACAUGCAAGUAGAACGCUGAAGCGAUUCGCUUGCUCUUCUUGGCUGAGUUGCGAACGGGUCAUUAACGCGUAGCUAACCUGCCUUGUAUCAGUGGAUAACUUUUGGACACGAUAGCUAAUACCGCAUAACAAUGGAUGGCUCAUGGUAUUUAUUGUAACCGGCCAAUUGUUCCACUACAACAUGGACCUGCGUUGUAUUAGCUAGUAGGUGCGGUAAUGGCUCACCUAGGCGACGAUACAUAGCCGACCUGAGAGGGUGAUCGGCCACACUGGGACGGAGACACGGCACAGAGUGAUACGGGAGGGAGCAGUAGGGAAUCGUCGGCCAUGGGGGCAACACUGAGCGAGCAAGGCCGAGUGAGGGAAGAGGGAUUUCGGAUCGUAAAGCUCGGUUGUAAGUCAAGAAAGGGUGUGAGAGUGGAAAGUACACCAUGUGACGGUAGCUUAACAGAAAGAGACGGCUAACUACGUG
RNAcentral lists this ribosomal RNA (497 nucleotides) under uncultured bacterium. RNAcentral describes it as "partial 16S ribosomal RNA". It matches the Rfam family "Bacterial small subunit ribosomal RNA", at positions 28 to 507 of the family's 1533-position model. The record is from RNAcentral.